AGCAAUCGACCGCCGAGUGAUUCGAUUUAGCAGCGCUGAGGCUGUUGACGCGCGUUCUAGGUUCAGUGAAGUGGGAGGGGUCGUCCGAGCUCAUCUCCUACUGGUGAACACGGAUCACGUGACUCCGGCAGGUUGCUGCCAUUGAUGUCGCAGCACCUGUGAAAGUACCAGCGAUGGAUGAGAAAAGCAAAUAAUGGAGUAAAUGAAAUGAUAAUUUAACUUGUGAAAAUAAAAUGUAAAACAGUAUGUAUUGAAAACAAAAGAGUAAAAAGCUCCAUAUAAUAGUUUCUAUCUGUAGAACAGGUGAAUGCAGUUCCAACGAAAUGUAAACAAACGUGCAGAUAAGAAAAUUGCUCUUUGAAUAUUUGCACUGCUCUUAAUCAAACUAAAAUGUAUUUAGCCGACCAGAGUUUGUGCAGUUAUAUAACAAUGUUCAAAUAAAGUACUAAAUAAAUAAUUAGGUUCCUUU
This is a long non-coding RNA of Silurus meridionalis, 469 nucleotides long. RefSeq lists it as uncharacterized. The record is from RefSeq and is a predicted model, not a curated record. The transcript is spliced from 2 exons. Lineage: Eukaryota; Metazoa; Chordata; Actinopteri; Siluriformes; Siluridae.